This 154-nucleotide unclassified non-coding RNA is filed under the name uncultured fungus. RNAcentral's name for it is "sequence contains ITS1". Lineage: Eukaryota; Fungi. The record is from RNAcentral.
CCGAGUUACCAAACUCCAAACCAUUGUGAACUUACCAUCGUUGCUUCGGCGGGCGGCUCCGGGGGAGCCUUGAAGCCAUUACGGCGCCCGCCGAAAGCCCCAAACUCUUCUGUAUUUGAAGCUUUAUUUCUGAAUACAAUCAAAUAAACAAGUA